AUAAUGUCACUGAUCUUGAGUUCUUAGUGUUGAAGGUUCAGGCUCCAUUCCCUGCGCUCAUUGCGGUUGUGUACAGACCUCCUGACUACAGUUUGACACCAUUCAUGCAAAACCUGCCAAUCAUGAAGUCGUCUGACAGGGCACACACAGUCCUGUCUCCUUUGUGGGAAAACCUUCGAACUUCACCAUCCUCAGCUGAAACAACAACAUCUUAACACCAUCUUCAUGAACUGCUGAGCCAAACCUGAUCCAUCAGUGCUGGACUGCACAGAUAACUACAUGCCACAAGGAGACUGCUGUGUUAUGAACUGCCAUACCAGUGUGUCUUCAAUGGAGAAGAUGACACACCCAUCACCUGACCUCCUGCCUGAUCUGGAGACCAUCACCAUGCUGCCACACUACACACCUCUGAGACCAUCAAUGAUGACUCAUACUGAGGAAACUGUAUUUCCUGUCAGAGAUGCUCAGUGAUCCUCAGAGCAGAGAGAGGUAUGAUUCUUUAUCUUUGAUUAAAAAAAUGUCAGUGCUUUUAAUUCAUUUAAUUAAUUUAAAUCCUGUUUAUUGCAUAAAGAAUUACACACUCAAAUGAUUAUACUUGUUGACACUUUUUGAGUUUUAAUUCACAUUAUGGAUUACAAAUCUAUGCUUUUUCUACUCUGUCUCUCUGUGCAGGUAUUGCUGUCUUCUGUGUUCUUCAGUGUCCCAACUGAG
Molecule: long non-coding RNA, 711 nt
Organism: Oreochromis aureus
Lineage: Eukaryota; Metazoa; Chordata; Actinopteri; Cichliformes; Cichlidae
Source: Ensembl